Small nuclear RNA from Cricetulus griseus (Chinese hamster), 104 nucleotides. Lineage: Eukaryota; Metazoa; Chordata; Mammalia; Rodentia; Cricetidae. The record is from Ensembl.
GUUUUUGUUUUGACAGCACAUAUGCUAAAUUUGGAAUGACAUGAAGAUUAGCAUGGUCCUUGAGUAAGGAUGACAUUCAAAUUCAUGAACCAUUCCAUACUUUU